CUCCUCAGCGACGCUGCCUUGGAUGGCGGCUUCGCACGGCAGGCCCGGUAUCUCUGAGGCCGGUUCUCCCCAGAGGGGACCUGACAGGGAGCUGGAAAGUCCAGGAGUCCGUUCUUCCCGCUGCCCGUGAGCCGCCCUCACACCCUGUCAGAAAAGUUGUGUCUAAAGCCUGGCCUUAGAAAGUCUGUCAGGUCUUCCUUCGGAGCCUCUCGCCUUUAAUCUCCACAGGAAAAAGCGGGUUAGGGAGACUCAGACGGGAAAGGAGCAUGUCAAUACCUCAGGUGAUUUGCGAAAUGAUCUUCUGACCCCAGAACUCCGAGUCAAGCCAUGCGCCACACCCUUUCCAGGGCCCAUCGGUACUGGAUCAUCUGUUGCAAUCAGUUGCCGAGGCUUCACCACUGGUAUGCCUAUGAAAAAGCAAGGGCACGGGGUGGGCACCGUGGUGCAGCAAACUAAACUGCUGCUCGUAAGCUUGUGAUGCUCGCAUCUCACACUGGAGUGCCUGAUCCAUGUCCUGAUUGUGCUUCUGAUCCAGCUUCCUGCUAAUGCACCCAGGAGGUUAGCAGAGAUACCCCCAACUGGUGGGCGGACUUUGCUGAAGAGGCGAAGGGCUAGCUGUCGCCCAGAUUGGCAGGAGCUCUGGGGCCGCAGAACUACCUGUACAGUAAAGUUAACAACAGUCCAACACAAU
Molecule: long non-coding RNA, 691 nt
Organism: Ochotona princeps (American pika)
Lineage: Eukaryota; Metazoa; Chordata; Mammalia; Lagomorpha; Ochotonidae
Exons: 3
Source: RefSeq, a predicted model, not a curated record